UAAAUUAAAUGGCAAACUAUGCGAAAGCAUAGGACGCAAAGCUUCCAGUCUAAGGCAAUCGCUACGAUCGUGGGGUUACAUUA
Molecule: non-coding RNA, 83 nt
Filed under: Pseudoalteromonas sp. DSM 26666
Lineage: Bacteria; Pseudomonadati; Pseudomonadota; Gammaproteobacteria; Alteromonadales; Pseudoalteromonadaceae
Description: GEMM cis-regulatory element
Rfam family: c-di-GMP-I riboswitch aptamer
About the family: GEMM was predicted in a large-scale screen for bacterial structured RNA regulatory elements.
Source: RNAcentral